This 73-nucleotide transfer RNA is filed under the name Neotoma lepida (desert woodrat). It matches the Rfam family "tRNA". Rfam says of the family: Transfer RNA (tRNA) molecules are approximately 80 nucleotides in length. Their secondary structure includes four short double-helical elements and three loops (D, anti-codon, and T loops). Further hydrogen bonds mediate the characteristic L-shaped molecular structure. tRNAs have two regions of fundamental functional importance: the anti-codon, which is responsible for specific mRNA codon recognition, and the 3' end, to which the tRNAs corresponding amino acid is attached (by aminoacyl-tRNA synthetases). tRNAs cope with the degeneracy of the genetic code in two manners: having more than one tRNA (with a specific anti-codon) for a particular amino acid; and 'wobble' base-pairing, i.e. permitting non-standard base-pairing at the 3rd anti-codon position. Lineage: Eukaryota; Metazoa; Chordata; Mammalia; Rodentia; Cricetidae. The record is from Rfam by way of RNAcentral.
GCCUGGCUAGCUCAGUUGGUGGAGCAUGGGACUCUUAAUCCCAGGGUUGUGGGUUCUUGCCCCAUGUUGGGCA